GAUGAACGCUAGCGGCAGGCCUAAUACAUGCAAGUCGAGGGGUAUGGGUUGCUUGCAACCCAGAGACCGGCGCACGGGUGCGUAACGCGUAUGCAAUCUACCUUAAUCAGGGGGAUAGCCCGGAGAAAUCCGGAUUAACACCGCAUAACAUUGAGUUGUGGCAUCACAGUUCAAUCAAAUAUUUAUAGGAUUAAGAUGAGCAUGCGUGACAUUAGUUAGUUGGUGAGGUAACGGCUCACCAAGACCACGAUGUCUAGGGGAUCUGAAAGGAUGACCCCCCACACUGGUACUGAGACACGGACCAGACUCCUACGGGAGGCAGCAGUAAGGAAUAUUGGUCAAUGGGCGCAAGCCUGAACCAGCCAUGCCGCGUGCAGGAAGACGGCCCUAUGGGUUGUAAACUGCUUUUGUACCGGAAUAAACCUUCUCUUGCGAGAGAAGCUGAACGUACGGUAAGAAUAAGGAUCGGCUAACUCCGUG
RNAcentral lists this ribosomal RNA (480 nucleotides) under uncultured bacterium. RNAcentral describes it as "partial 16S ribosomal RNA". It matches the Rfam family "Bacterial small subunit ribosomal RNA", at positions 28 to 507 of the family's 1533-position model. The record is from RNAcentral.